Molecule: long non-coding RNA, 318 nt
Organism: Oncorhynchus tshawytscha (Chinook salmon)
Lineage: Eukaryota; Metazoa; Chordata; Actinopteri; Salmoniformes; Salmonidae
Source: Ensembl
GCUGGGUGGGUUGGUUUAGUGCGCUGGGCUGGGUGGCUUGGUUUGUAGGGUCUGGGCUUAGUGGCUGGGUGUCUUGGUUGGUGUUUGGGGGGUCUCGGCCCUCAGUCUUUCCAGGGUUCCGAGUGGUGGUGGGUCAGAUGAGGUCAGAGGGUCCUGAAGAACACAGGCCAUGAAGAUAAACAGAGAGGGGAGAGAGAAACAGAGAGGAGAGAGACAGAGAUAAACAGAGAGGAGAGAGAAACAGAAGAGAGAGAGAAAAACAGAGAGGAGAGACAGAGAUAAACAGAGUGGGGAGAGAGAAACAGAGAGGAGAGAGAA